UAGAGAGAUCUCUUGGUACCGUAGCUAACGCGUGAAGUCGACCGCCUGGGGAGUACGGCCGCAAGGUUAAAACUCAAAGGAAUUGACGGGGACCCGCACAAGCGGUGGAUGAUGUGGAUUAAUUCGAUGCAACGCGAACAACCUUACCUACCCUUGACAUGUCCGGAAGCCUGCCGAGAGGCGGGGGUGCCCGAAAGGGAACCGGAACACAGGUGCUGCAUGGCUGUCGUCAGCUCGUGUCGUGAGAUGUUGGGUUAAGUCCCGCAACGAGCGCAACCCUUGUCCCUAGUUGCUACGCAAGGGCACUCUAGGGAGACUGCCGGUGACAAACCGGAGGAAGGUGGGGAUGACGUCAAGUCCUCAUGGCCCUUAUGGGUAGGGCUUCACACGUCAUACAAUGGACGGUACAGAGGGUUGCCAACCCGCGAGGGGGAGCCAAUCCCAGGAAGCCGUUCGUAGUCCGGAUCGCAGUCUGCAACUCGACUGCGUGAAGUCGGAAUCGCUAGUAAUCGUGAAUCAGAAUGUCACGGUGAAUACGUUCCCGGGCCUUGUACACACCGCCCGUCACACCAUGGGAGUGGGUUGCUCCAGAAGUAGCUAGUCUAACCGCAAGGGGGACGGUUACCACGGAGUGAUUCAUGACUGGGGUGAAGUCGUAACAAGGUAACC
Molecule: ribosomal RNA, 669 nt
Filed under: uncultured bacterium
Lineage: Bacteria
Description: bacterial SSU rRNA
Rfam family: Bacterial small subunit ribosomal RNA
Source: RNAcentral